AGAGUACGUGAAACCGUUCAGGGGUAAACCUGAGAAACCCGAAAGGUCGAAAGGGGAAAUUCAUUCGCGUUUCGGCCGUCGGCGUCGGUAGGUCGAGUGACGGAUGGCGUACGCGUCGUCCGCGCCUUCCUUCCUUCGAUCCGGCGUCGAACGCGUGCACUUUUCCCCUAGUAGGACGUCGCGAUCCGUUGGGUGUCGGUCUAAGGCCCGCGGUGGAGCCCGUGCGGACGUUUCGGCGUUCGCUCGGACCCGCGGUGUCCCGGCCGACUCGCUCGACGGUAUACAGAUGGCGCGGGGCCGCUACACAGUUAGCGUUCGGCCUGCGGCAAGCGCGUUCGGCGUUUGACGGCGAUCGGACCUGGUGCCGGUCCUGUCCCCGAACGACUGUUGGCCGUGGUGUUCUCGAACAGACCUCGAAUUUGAAACGCCGAUCUGCGACGCUAUAGCUUUGGGUACUUUCAGGACCCGUCUUGAAACACGGACCAAGGAGUCUAGCAUGUGCGCGAGUCAUUGGGACAUAACUAAACCUAAAGGCGCAAUGAAAGUGAAGGUCCGUCUUGCACGGACCGAGGGAGGAUGGGCGGUGUCUGCCUUAAAGCGGUCGCCCCGCACUCCCGGGGCGUCUCGUUCUCAUCGCGAGAAGA
This 644-nucleotide ribosomal RNA is filed under the name Paragaurotes doris. RNAcentral's name for it is "partial large subunit ribosomal RNA". It matches the Rfam family "Eukaryotic large subunit ribosomal RNA", at positions 392 to 788 of the family's 3401-position model. Lineage: Eukaryota; Metazoa; Arthropoda; Insecta; Coleoptera; Cerambycidae. The record is from RNAcentral.